This 1027-nucleotide long non-coding RNA is filed under the name Salvator merianae (Argentine black and white tegu). RNAcentral's name for it is "lncRNA (ENSSMRG00000015870.1)". The record is from RNAcentral. Lineage: Eukaryota; Metazoa; Chordata; Lepidosauria; Squamata; Teiidae.
GGAAGCGACCGGUACCUUAUGUAUGCUAUCUGUGUCUUCUUGUAGGAGCUGCCAGUGAUGGUCCCUUGAACCCCGAUAUUGGCUUGGGGAACCAGGAAGAGGUCGAUGAUGCAAAGGAGACCCAUACCCCUUAGUGGCAUAUCUAUCGUUAACCAAGGUUGGAGCCAGAGUGUGGAGCAGACAGGAAACUUGCCGAGCUCUGAUGGUAAUGGCUCCAAAUGGCUCACCCCUGCGGAGCGGUUGGCCUGCANGAAGAGCAAGUGGCAUCGAGCUGGAAGCUCCGAGAUGUUGCAGGUGGUCUGUAACCAUGCAAGCCAGGAGAACAGGACCAUGCUGGAGGCGUUCNGCGAGUCCGACUGCACUUGGCUGCAGUUCUUUGAGAAGCAGAACGAAUGUCUGAUGCGGACUGAGGAGCAAAUGUUGUCCCUUAUGCGUGAACAGACUUCACUCCUAAGAGCUAUGUUCACUCGGUCAGUGGCUCGGGAUGAGGAGACCAGUAGAGUUAGGGUUGGUUCCGGAACUGCUCACUGCUCGCAGUUUUCUGCCCCCACUUCCCUUGUAUCCGUCCAGCACUCCAUUAAUGUGAUUGUGGAAGCCCACCCUCCCCCUGCUAUUUCGCCNAUUUUGGAGCUGUCCUCCUCUCUGNAGCCUCCUGUGCCCUCAGCUACUGUUGAUCCUGUAAUUCCUGUGGAAGUGGAGGAAUCAUGUCCCCCGGUUCCCGCCAGCUCGACCCCAAGGAGUCCGUCUGUUAGUCGGCGUGUUUCUGCUCACCCCGUGAAGAGGAGGCAGAUGUUCUCCCCCUGAGUGUGGAACAAGGAGUCUGCCCCCUCAUGGGGUGUCCCCUUCCCUAGUUUAUUCCAAUGUUAUCCUUGUUGUGUUGUAAUGUGUUGUUGUUGUUAUUGUUUGUUCACUUUGCACUGGACUCUUGUUCGUGUUUUCAUGCACUUCUUCAUUGUAGCUCUGUGCACUGACACUGCCCUUCAGUAUGAGCAAUAAAUAAAAAUAAAAUAAAAAUAAAAUAAAAAUA